This is a long non-coding RNA of Hippoglossus stenolepis (Pacific halibut), 356 nucleotides long. RefSeq lists it as uncharacterized. NCBI's taxonomy places the organism in Eukaryota, Metazoa, Chordata, Actinopteri, Pleuronectiformes, Pleuronectidae. The record is from RefSeq and is a predicted model, not a curated record. The transcript is spliced from 3 exons.
UGACAUCCGCCGCUUCCUCCCCGCUGCACGCUGCAGGCCAACCCGCUGCCUCGCUGCCCGUGUCGGGUUACAGCCACCAGGCCACCCGCCCUCCCGCCCUCCUCCCUCCGACUGAAGCGCGACUUUUAGGGAGAUAGUAUUACAGGCUCACAGCUGAUCCACCCCCUGGUACAACCAUUGAGACAGAGGAGGUUAAAGCACUCUGAACGCAUGGAACCAUAUUGCAGGUAGUGUGGCUGUGGGAGGCUCUCAGUGUUUUCUCACGUUCCGUCUCUGCUCCACAAGACGACCCGCACACACACACAGACCUCACACAGGUCAGUCACACGUAUCCAUUAACAUGCAGUCAGCAGCCC